GAUGAACGCUGGCGGCGUGCCUAAUACAUGCAAGUCGAGCGAACAGACGAGGAGCUUGCUCCUCUGACGUUAGCGGCGGACGGGUGAGUAACACGUGGAUAACCUACCUAUAAGACUGGGAUAACUUCGGGAAACCGGAGCUAAUACCGGAUAAUAUAUUGAACCGCAUGGUUCAAUAGUGAAAGACGGUUUUGCUGUCACUUAUAGAUGGAUCCGCGCCGCAUUAGCUAGUUGGUAAGGUAACGGCUUACCAAGGCAACGAUGCGUAGCCGACCUGAGAGGGUGAUCGGCCACACUGGAACUGAGACACGGUCCAGACUCCUACGGGAGGCAGCAGUAGGGAAUAUUCCGCAAUGGGCGAAAGCCUGACGGAGCAACGCCGCGUGAGUGAUGAAGGUCUUCGGAUCGUAAAACUCUGUUAUUAGGGAAGAACAAAUGUGUAAGUAACUAUGCACGUCUUGAUGGUACCUAAUCAGAAAGCCGCGGCUAACUACGUG
Molecule: ribosomal RNA, 497 nt
Filed under: uncultured bacterium
Lineage: Bacteria
Description: partial 16S ribosomal RNA
Rfam family: Bacterial small subunit ribosomal RNA
Source: RNAcentral